This is a long non-coding RNA of Cinclus cinclus, 1250 nucleotides long. RefSeq lists it as uncharacterized. The transcript is spliced from 4 exons. NCBI's taxonomy places the organism in Eukaryota, Metazoa, Chordata, Aves, Passeriformes, Cinclidae. The record is from RefSeq and is a predicted model, not a curated record.
CUGGCAGCCUGCAAGGAAAGGAAAAGUAAUUGAAAUAAAUGUUUUAAGGCAGUUCAUUUUCUGCAUCAUAUCUAAACAAUCUUUCUGAACUUCUACAGGGGGAAAAAAUGCACAAUUGUAUUCAAUGUACCUCAGCAUAAAUCUAAACUGGAUGUUGUUCCUGUCAAAACUGCAUUUGGAUAAUGCUUGCACUAUCAUAAUACAAGAGUAAAAUGGUUUGAAAAUAAUACCUAAGAAUUAAGUCCCCUGGUGUGCUAUAAGAAAUGUCCUGAUGGUUCAGGCACUGAUACUGACCUUCACCAGGAGCUGCAUGUCUCUUGAGUGAGCAGAAGAAAUGCACCUCUUGCAUGGACCUGGUACUCACCCAACAGUGAUGUCGAAGAUGUUGCUGCCCACAGAACUGGACACAGCCAUGUCCCCCAAGCCCUUCCGGGCCACGAUGACACUGGUGAUGAGAAAGAACAAAACCUCUCACCUGGUGAGCCCACCACACCAUGAGAUAAGAGAAUGCAGCAAUCCAGAGGAUGGAUCCAAAAAAAGUGAUGACAAAGAAUUUUUUUGACUCCUGUUGAAAUCAAGUUUGAAAAGAAGAAAGAGAAGUUUCAGGGAAGUUAAUAGUCCCCAUUGAAAACUAUUCACCUGAAACACUUGACUGCAAUUGAUUGCUUUAACUUGGACCCUGGUCUCUGCUGUUUUUCAGCUUGACCUGUAGUUGCUAGAAUUUGUGGUUUAUUAAAUUAAGUCUCUGAAAUGGCAUUACACUGCAGCUGAGGUUCCUGUCCCACUCCCUGCAGCACUAACAGCCCUUCAACUAUGCAAAGACUCCAGACAUGGAAAAAUGGACCCAGGGACUCUUGCCCAGAGGAAAGCCAUAGCUCAGUUAAUGACUCCAGUAGCAGAAGGAAGAUAGAUUCUUACUGGGUUUCUGACAUCAGGCAGCGUGCUCCAGAGAGGAAAGACAAUGGGAAAGAGGAAAAGGGCUGGGAUGAGGUUUGAGCUAAAAAGAGGAAGAUGCGGCGUGCUAUGGAAUGGAGGAAGCCUGUAAUUCACAUUUGCUGCCCCUGCAGUCAGAGAGACAGCAGAGACGAGGGAUGCCACCACUUCCAGGGAACCCCAGCAGCAGCAGCUGCCACCACAGCAGUAACCAGCUUGGCACAGGAAAAGUAGAUAUGGCAGGACCAAAACAUGAGGUGUUUGUGCUUGCCAGCCAUGCGAUCAGAAGGAGCACAUCCCACUGCCACAGAGCUACC